This 200-nucleotide ribosomal RNA is filed under the name uncultured bacterium. Its description in RNAcentral is "partial 16S ribosomal RNA". It matches the Rfam family "Bacterial small subunit ribosomal RNA", at positions 28 to 226 of the family's 1533-position model. The record is from RNAcentral.
GAUGAACGCUAGCGGCAGGCCUAAUACAUGCAAGUCGGACGGGAUUCGGGACUUCGGUCCCGAUGAGAGUGGCGCACGGGAGCGUAACGCGUGAGCAACCUGCCCAUAUCAGGGGGAUAGCCCGGAGAAAUCCGGAUUAACACCGCAUAACACAGCAGUCUGGCAUCAGACCACUGUUAAAAUAUUUAUAGGAUAUGGAU